This 253-nucleotide ribosomal RNA is filed under the name uncultured bacterium. RNAcentral describes it as "partial 16S ribosomal RNA". It matches the Rfam family "Bacterial small subunit ribosomal RNA", at positions 524 to 776 of the family's 1533-position model. The record is from RNAcentral.
UACGGAGGGUGCGAGCGUUGUUCGGAAUCACUGGGCGUAAAGCGCGUGUAGGCGGCUUCUUAAGUUCGGUGUGAAAGCCCGGGGCUUACCCCCGGAAGUGCACCGGGUACUGGGAGGCUCGAGUACCGGAGAGGAGGGUGGAAUUCCUGGUGUAGCGGUGAAAUGCGUAGAUAUCAGGAGGAACACCGGUGGCGAAGGCGGCCCUCUGGACGGAUACUGACGCUGAGACGCGAAAGCGUGGGGAGCAAACAGG